AGAUUGAACGCUGGCGGCAUGCUUUACACAUGCAAGUCGAACGGUAACAGGCCGCAAGGUGCUGACGAGUGGCGAACGGGUGAGUAAUGCAUCGGAACGUGCCCAGUCGUGGGGGAUAACGCAGCGAAAGCUGUGCUAAUACCGCAUACGAUCUAUGGAUGAAAGCGGGGGACCGAAAGGCCUCGCGCGAUUGGAGCGGCCGAUGUCAGAUUAGCUAGUUGGUGGGUAAAGGCCCACCAAGGCGACGAUCUGUAGCUGGUCUGAGAGGACGACCAGCCACACUGGAACUGAGACACGGUCCAGACUCCUACGGGAGCAGCAGUGGGGAAUUUGGACAA
Molecule: ribosomal RNA, 338 nt
Filed under: uncultured soil bacterium
Lineage: Bacteria
Description: bacterial SSU rRNA
Rfam family: Bacterial small subunit ribosomal RNA
Source: RNAcentral